GAUGAAGAACGUAGCGAAAUGCGAUAAGUAGUGUGAAUUGCAGAAUUCAGUGAAUCAUCGAAUCUUUGAACGCACAUUGCGCCCUUUGGUAUUCCAAAGGGCAUGCCUGUUCGAGCGUCAUUUGUACCCUCAAGCUUUGCUUGGUGUUGGGCGUCUUGUCUCUAGCUUUGCUGAGACUCGCCUUAAAGUAAUUGGCAGCCGGCCUACUGGUUUCGGAGCGCAGCACAAGUCGCACUCUCUAUCAGCAAAGGUCUAGCAUCCAUUAAGCCUUUUUUUCAACUUUUGACCUCGGAUCAGGUAGGGAUACCCGCUGAACUUAAGCAUAUCAAUAAGCGGAGGA
This 340-nucleotide unclassified non-coding RNA is filed under the name soil metagenome. RNAcentral's name for it is "partial contains 5.8S ribosomal RNA, internal transcribed spacer 2, and large subunit ribosomal RNA". The stretch from base 1 to 120 matches the Rfam family "5.8S ribosomal RNA", at positions 35 to 154 of the family's 154-position model. The record is from RNAcentral.